Molecule: long non-coding RNA, 362 nt
Filed under: Androctonus crassicauda
Lineage: Eukaryota; Metazoa; Arthropoda; Arachnida; Scorpiones; Buthidae
Source: RNAcentral
AAUACAUAUGUAUCUGAAAUUAGAUUUGGGAAUCUGUAGAUACCCUAACGUUAUUUUCUACUUACGUUAUACUUCCCGGUCCCACCUGUUACGUAAUUCCGGGGUAUUGCUGUAUACUCUUACAAUUAUAAUAAAUGCGAGGUGGAUCACGAGUUUAAAAGAUCUGAUGGAAAGAAAACUCUUAUUCGCAUUCAGUACUAAUCUUGUUUCAUUGACAAAACUCUCAUUAACAAAAGUAGAAUACUACUUUUGUUAAUAACAUAUUUCUGUGAGCAUAAGUAUCUUAUUCAGUGUCAUCAGAUCAUAUCAUAUUUUAUCAUCUUUUUUUGAAUAAAAAAAGAUUGUUUUGUAUAGCAGUAGCU